GAUAAACGCUGGCGGCGCACAUAAGACAUGCAAGUCGAACGGAAGUCGUUUUAGUGAUUCUGAUAUGAAAGAUUUAUCCAGAUUUGAAGAUGAUCUAAAACAAUGGCUUUAGUGGCGGACUGGUGAGUAACACGUAAGCAACCUGCCUGUUAGAGGGGAAUAACAACGAGAAAUCGUUGCUAAUACCGCAUAUGCCAUAGGAACCACAUGGUUCUAGUGGGAAAGGAGCAAUCCGCUAACAGAUGGGCUUGCGUCUGAUUAGAUAGUUGGUGGGGUAACGGCCUACCAAGUCGACGAUCAGUAGCCGGACUGAGAGGUUCAACGGGCCAACAUUGGGACUGAGAUACGGCCCAGACUCCUACGGAGGCAGCAGUCGGGAAUAUUGCGCAAUGGAGGAAACUCUGACGCAGUGACGCCGCGUAUAGGAAGAAAGGUUUUUCGGAUUGUAAACUAUUGUCUGCAGGGAGAAACAAGACUGUACCUGC
This 485-nucleotide ribosomal RNA is filed under the name uncultured bacterium. RNAcentral describes it as "bacterial SSU rRNA". It matches the Rfam family "Bacterial small subunit ribosomal RNA", at positions 28 to 482 of the family's 1533-position model. The record is from RNAcentral.